This 497-nucleotide ribosomal RNA is filed under the name Salmonella enterica subsp. enterica serovar Corvallis. RNAcentral's name for it is "partial 23S ribosomal RNA". It matches the Rfam family "Bacterial large subunit ribosomal RNA", at positions 1260 to 1757 of the family's 2925-position model. Lineage: Bacteria; Pseudomonadati; Pseudomonadota; Gammaproteobacteria; Enterobacterales; Enterobacteriaceae. The record is from RNAcentral. RNAcentral also lists the same sequence under 1 other name.
CCUGUGAGGGUUGCUGGAGGUAUCAGAAGUGCGAAUGCUGACAUAAGUAACGAUAAAGCGGGUGAAAAGCCCGCUCGCCGGAAGACCAAGGGUUCCUGUCCAACGUUAAUCGGGGCAGGGUGAGUCGACCCCUAAGGCGAGGCCGAAAGGCGUAGUCGAUGGGAAACGGGUUAAUAUUCCCGUACUUGGUGUUACUGCGAAGGGGGGACGGAGAAGGCUAUGUUGGCCGGGCGACGGUUGUCCCGGUUUAAGCGUGUAGGUGUGUGUUCCAGGUAAAUCCGGUUCACUUUAACACUGAGGCGUGACGACGAGGCACUACGGUGCUGAAGCAACAAAUGCCCUGCUUCCAGGAAAAGCCUCUAAGCAUCAGGUAACAUCAAAUCGUACCCCAAACCGACACAGGUGGUCAGGUAGAGAAUACCAAGGCGCUUGAGAGAACUCGGGUGAAGGAACUAGGCAAAAUGGUGCCGUAACUUCGGGAGAAGGCACGCUGACAC